Molecule: ribosomal RNA, 460 nt
Filed under: uncultured bacterium
Lineage: Bacteria
Description: partial 16S ribosomal RNA
Rfam family: Bacterial small subunit ribosomal RNA
Source: RNAcentral
CCUACGGGAGGCAGCAGUGAGGACUAUUGGUCAAUGGGCGGAAGCCUGAACCAGCCAAGUCGCGUGAAGGACGAAUGUCCUACGCGUUGUAAACUUCUUUUGUCAAGGAAUAAAAUCAGGCACGUGUGCCUUACCGUAUGUACUUUAAGAAUAAGCAUCGGCUAACUCCGUGCCAGCAGCCGCGGUAAUACAGAGGAUCCGAGCGUUAUCCGGAUUUAUUGGGUUUAAAGGGUGCGUAGUUGGGGUGUUAAGUCAGUGGGAAAAGUCGGGGGCUCAACCGCAGAAUUGCCUUUGAUACUGGCUGUCUUGAGUACAGUUGAGGUAGGCGGAAUUCGUGGUGUAGCGGUGAAAUGCUUAGAUAUCACGAAGAACUCCGAUUGCGAAGGCAGCUUACUAAAGUGCCACUGACAUUGAGGCUCGAAAGCGUGGGUAUCGAACAGGAUUAGAUACCCGAGUAGUC